Molecule: long non-coding RNA, 4720 nt
Filed under: Malus domestica (apple)
Lineage: Eukaryota; Viridiplantae; Streptophyta; Magnoliopsida; Rosales; Rosaceae
Description: long non-coding RNA (MDOM_LNC013667)
Source: RNAcentral
AGGCCACUUGUACCCAACUCCCAGCGAGUCGAGCUCGGUCCUGACGAGUUCACUCGUCCUGUGCUCCUGGAAUCCCAGCUCCGGGUACUGGUGGAUCCUCCUCCUCAACCCUCUCAUCCAUUCGAAAAACUCGGGCUCCCUCGCCGACGCCAGCAGCUCUUGAGUCAGCGACUCGAGCUCCAGUCCAUCUCCGGCAGCACAAGAAUGCUGAUCAAACAGUGCGGCAGCUGAUGACAGUAACAAGAAGGAGGUGAAGAAAGUGAAAAACCCCAUUGGAAAAUUAUCUUGAAAGAUUCCAAGAGCAAGAACGUUAUGUAUUAACUUCAAAUUAUUACAAAAGACAAACAGCUUAGCAUUUCAAAUUUCUCAUAAGUUCAAACCGGUAGCUCUCACAUUGAUUGACACGUGAUUGAGGAAGUAGUUGGUCGCUGGAUUUAGCCAAUAAUGGAUAAGCAUCUUGUUUUGUGGUGAUUGGUGUGUCAAUUUAAAAGUUAUGGUUUAGAGCGAGUGAUCGAAUGUGAUUGUGUUUUAGCUUUAAAAAGGCAAGGAAUAUUUAAGUUUGGGUGAGGGUUAAAUAAUGGAGCAAAAGGACGUGUAAUUUUUUAUUCAUAUGAAGUUGUGUUAUUGACGGAAUGUCGUAAUAGUAUAGUACUUGGCGUGUAAGUUUCUCAUAUAGUAUUUUUAUUUCUUUUUUAUUAAUUUAAAAAAUAGUAAUUUUCUAUUAUUAAUUGCCCAAACAAUUCAUUUUACGAACUGCAGAUACUACUAGAUAAUUACUAUUUACUAAGAUAAUAAUUGCCUUUGCCCAGGCCCAGUUGACGGGGCAAUUAUUGCCUUAGUGGGGUUGGCUUUUGCUCUUAUUGUGUCUCUUUAUAUAAUAGAUAGGAGUUUUAGGGUACUAAUGUGUCAUAUCCUAACUUACCAACUAUACUUAUUUUCUGGAGUGUAUUAGUGGCUAGGAUCUAUCUACAGUACAUGCGUGCAAAUCUUAGCAUUUAUGUAGAUAGGAAUAAUAGCACACGCCUACAAGAGUUAGAUCUUUGCAACUCCUGCUUUGGAGUCAUACAAGUAUGAAUGACCCAAAUUAACUUACACAUAGGGCCGCCCCUAAGGGUAGUCCUUGUAGGCGCCCGCCUAGGACCCUCACUUCGGAGUGGCCCUAAAAUUUUUAUAUAUCCUGUAAAUAACAUAUGAAUAUAGAAAAAGUAAGAAAUUUCAUAAUUCUAUUUGUUGGUGCAAUGGAAAUGUUCAGCUUCCUUUCUCUUUGGGGUGUUAAGUUCGAAACAUGGGGUUGCCUUUUUAGUCACUAGUUUUUUCUUGUUUUUCAAAUUUACUCCCUAUCCAUAUGUCCAAAUCCAUAUAAAGUUAGAAAACUCAAGUCUAUUUGCAAUCGUUUUUUCCUUCAACUUUUGAAUCUCUCAAUUUCUAUCGAAUGUUUCAAUCAACGAUUACAUGGUCUUGAAGAUUGUAUUUUAAGGUAAUCAAAACUUUGAACUUAUAUUUUUCUUUUCAAUAAUUUAUUAUUCAAUGGAUUAUUUUAAUAUUCAAUUCGUUGGUAUGAUGUUGAUUUUAGGAAAAAAAAACACAAGAAAAACAAUUGGCGUUGUUGAAUUUACUGGACUCAUCAAUCAAAUUUUAUUGUUUUUUACUCUCUUGAUCAAGUUUUAUUGUUCAACACUCUCAAUCUUAGACUCUUUGAUUGUAGUCAUUUAGUACAUUUGCGUUAAAAAAUGUGAGACGUGUAUAAUGUUUGUAAAUCUAUCUUCUUUUGAUAUUAAUUUUUAAUGAUAUUUGAUGUAGAAAUAUAAUUUUUAAUGUAGUUAACGAAUUUAUUUUUAUACAUAUUAAUGUACAAAAAUUCGGAGAUUAGACAACUUUAAGGCUCCACUUUGAAGGCUCGCCUAGAGUCCCCAAAUUCUCAUGCCGGCCCUGCCCACACACGCAAACUUAUGUGAGUAGAAGCUGAAAUCCUCUGCUCCAUGAUCACCGGUUGAAGCUCCACAUUAGGUUCCCGGAGUAGGGCCUCGCCAACCUUCUUCGCGUGCUCGUACAAUGCUUCGUUCUUAAUCAUCACUGGAUAAUGCAGCGGUGUUUCCUCCAUGAAGUCCACCGUACCCUCAAAUCGAUUCACGGCUGCUUGCAGUUCUAUGAUCUGCAAGUGGAACCUAACUGUAAGAGAGGCUAUACUCGCAAUGCACUCACCUUGGUAAAAUGACCUAGUAAUUUACCGAGUCCUUCUACAGUAUGUGAUGCACCAAUUUAUGAACGGCUAGAUUGGAAUGCUUUCUAGGGUAAAAGCUGCAUAUUUUUAGAAGUGAAGAUAGUACAAAGUUUCUACUCGGACUUUAGCGCCAUGGCUUUCCAAGUAUGCUCUCCUUUGUUAAAUAUUUUUAUCUUCUGUGUUCCUUAUUUCUAGAAUUGAAGUGUGGACCAUGUUCCUACUCAGUGCAGACAUCAUGGCCGUCGAAGCAUGAAGUGCUGCUCCUACUGGAAGAGAGUCCUCGUUGAUAAAAAAGUAGGGUGAGUGCAAGUUUUGGUCAGCCUUUAGAGUCUCAUUCUUUAUCCCAAGAACAAAAAUUGCAGCAGCAGUCUUCUCCGCGAAGUAGGUGAAAUCAUCCGAACCCAUAGUCAGUGGCAGAACAUGAACAUUAGAUUUCCCAAGGAGGACGUCACCGACAUUCUUCACAUGUUCAUACAGUGCAUCGUCAUUCUUCAUCGCGGGAUGAGGCAGUUGUCUGCCUCCAUGUAGUCCACCACAGCAGUACAUCGAUACACAGCUGCUUGCUGCUCUAUGAUCUGUAAGUGGAACAUAUUUUGUCGAGUGUAAUUAAAUUGAAUAGACUUUUACAAUAUAUGAAGAUUUAAGGACUCGUAAACCUCUUUUAUCCUUUCUUGGAGAUAGGAGAGACCCUCAGAAGUCAAGCUGCGAUAAGUUCCCCCGACUUUCACACUGUCGGGAAUCACAUUUCCUGCCUGACCUCCUUGUAUGUAGCCAACUGUUACAACCUACGUGAUACGAAGAUGAAUGGAUCAGAAUUGUUGGUUCUAAAUUGCUGGUAUAAUACUCAAAUGUACAACUUCAUUUACGAAGCUUUUAAUUGAUUUUCACCGAAGAAAAAGGAAGGGAUUAAGAUUACUCUGGAAUCAAACGGAUCCGUCUCUCGAGACACAAUCUGUUGGAGUGCAAGGUUUAUAGAGGCUGCUGCAGGAAUUGGGUCCCUAGUCUCAUGAGGGGAUGACCCGUGCCCUCCUUUUCCUUGUAUAGUAGCCUCAAAGAGCCCUACGCCGGCAAGUAUUGCCCCGGGCCUCGAAGCUAUGGCACCAGUUGGUAACGAUGGUGAAACAUGUAUGCUCAAGAUGGCAUCAAUAUCAUUCAAAACACCGUCUUUUAGCAUAUGGUAAGCACCGGCAUAACCCUCCUCUCCCGGCUGGAAAACUAGUUUCGCGGUUCCCUUUGAUAACAUGUCGAAGUAUUAGGACUUGCAAAGUAGUAGAUCGGAAGUUUUUAAAACAAAAUAUGUAGCUUUUCGUCCACCUUCAACAAAUCUUUUUUGUUUUGAAGCAACUUGGCUGCUCCGAGUAGCAUUGCGACAUGAGAAUCAUGACCACAAGCAUGCAUCUUUCCAUUAACUUUGCUCUUGUAAUCCCACUCUACCAAUUCCUUCAAAACAAUAAAAUUGGUUUCAAGGAAUCAGAUUUCAAUUAUAAAUUUAUAAUACCUAGUCAAAAGCACUUCGGACUACUUUUGGUGGAAAAAAAAAAUAAAGUGAUUUUGGAUCAAGCGUGUUUUAGAUAAAGACUUGGAAGUGACUUGGAAGUGAUCUUUAGGCAUCUCUUGAAUUUUUAAUAAAAUUUCAAUAUGUUUAAUAUAAUUAAGACACUUCUAGCAGAAACAGUUAUGAACAGUCCGCAAAUGACACGUAAUGUGGAACUUGAAAAUACACUAAUUGUAAAUACAUGGGCCAAAUUCAAUGAAAUUGAUAAUACAGGCACAGGAGUGGAACUUUGAGCAAACUACAUAGGUUAAAACAAAGUGUUUUAACCGGUGCGUCUCGGGUUCAAGUCUUCUUUUCCCUUGAUGUACAAUUAGUAUACACUAUCGCUAUAAAAAGGUCGUACCCAAUGCACAAGGCUCCCGCUUUACGCAGGGUCUGGAAGAGGUGAAUGUAUACACUAUCGCUAUAAUAAAAAUAAAAAGUGUUUAAGCCCAAUUUCUAGAGAGAGAGAGAGAGAACCUGGAGAGGGAGGGCAUCCAUGUCAGCUCUAAGAGCAAAGACUGGUUUAGAGCCAGAGCCAAUAGAAGCCAUCACCCCAGUCUUGGCAACAGGCCACUUGUACCCCAACUCCCAGCGAGUCGAGCUCGGUCCUGACGAGUUCACUCGUCCUGUGCUCCUGGAAUCCCAGCUCCGGGUACUGGUGGAUCCUCCUCUUCAACCCUCUCAUCCAUUCGAAAAACUCGGGCUCCAUCGCCGAAGCCAGCAGCUCUCGAGUCAGCGACUCUAGCUCUGGUCCAUCUCCGGUAGCACAAGAAUGCUGAUCAAACAGUGUAGCAGCAGCAGCUGAUGACAGUAACAAGGAGGUGAAGAAAGUGAAAAUUUCCAUUGGAAAAAUUUUCUUGUAAAAAAGUUAUUGAAUGCGCUUUUACGAUUCAGAAUUGUUUUUAAGGCUUAAAUUAAACAACUGGUAGCUCACAUUUGUUAAUGUUUUUAUUUAAAUGCGA